GGUUAAGUGACUAAGCGUACACGGUGGAUGCCUUGGCAGUCAGAGGCGAUGAAAGACGUAGUAACUUGCGAUAAGCCCAGAUUAGGUAGUAACAACCAUUUGAGUCUGGGAUUUCUGAAUGGGGAAACCCACGUGCAUAAGCACGUAUCCUUACCUGAAUACAUAGGGUAAGGAGGCGAACCGGGGGAACUGAAACAUCUAAGUACCCCGAGGAAAAGAAAUCAACCGAGAUUCCGAAAGUAGCGGCGAGCGAAAUUGGACUAGCCCUUAAGCUUUACACGCGUUAGACGAACGGUCUGGAAAGUCCGACGAUACAGGGUGAUAGUCCCGUAGUUGACGACGUGUGUUCAGUGAAAUCGAGUAGGGCGGGACACGUGAUAUCCUGUCUGAAUAUGGGGGGACCAUCCUCCAAGGCUAAAUACUACUGACUGACCGAUAGUGAACCAGUACCGUGAGGGAAAGGCGAAAAGAACCCCUGUGAGGGGAGUGAAAUAGAACCUGAAACCGUGUACGUACAAGCAGUAGGAGCAGGCUUUGUCCUGUGACUGCGUACCUUUUGUAUAAUGGGUCAGCGACUUAUAUUCAGUGGCAAGGUUAACCAUCUAGGGGAGCCGUAGGGAAACCGAGUCUUAACUGGGCGUUCAGUCUCUGGAUAUAGACCCGAAACCAGGUGAUCUAGCCAUGGGCAGGUUGAAGGUUGAGUAACAUCAACUGGAGGACCGAACCGACUAAUGUUGAAAAAUUAGCGGAUGACUUGUGGCUAGGGGUGAAAGGCCAAUCAAACCUGGAGAUAGCUGGUUCUCCCCGAAAGCUAUUUAGGUAGCGCCUCGGACGAAUACUACUGGGGGUAGAGCACUGUUAAGGCUAGGGGGUCAUCCCGACUUACCAACCCUUUGCAAACUCCGAAUACCAGUAAGUACUAUCCGGGAGACACACGGCGGGUGCUAACGUCCGUCGUGGAGAGGGAAACAACCCAGACCGCCAGCUAAGGUCCCAAAUUACUACUAAGUGGGAAACGAUGUGGGAAGGCUCAGACAGCCAGGAUGUUGGCUUAGAAGCAGCCAUCAUUUAAAGAAAGCGUAAUAGCUCACUGGUCGAGUCGGCCUGCGCGGAAGAUGUAACGGGGCUAAGUAGUAAACCGAAGCUGCGGCAAUAUACUUUUGUAUAUUGGGUAGGGGAGCGUUCUGUAAGCGGUUGAAGGUGUGUGGUAACGCAUGCUGGACGUAUCAGAAGUGCGAAUGCUGACAUGAGUAACGAUAAAGGGGGUGAAAAACCUCCUCGCCGGAAGACCAAGGGUUCCUGUCCAACGUUAAUCGGGGCAGGGUAAGUCGACCCCUAAGGCGAGGCCGAAAGGCGUAGUCGAUGGGAAACGGGUUAAUAUUCCCGUACUUCUUACAAUUGCGAUGGGGGGACGGAGAAGGCUAGGUGGGCCUGGCGACGGUUGUCCAGGUUCAAGUGCGUAGGCUUAAGAGUUAGGUAAAUCCGGCUCUUUUUAAGGCUGAGACACGACGUCGAGCACCUACGGGUGUGAAGUCAUUGAUGCCAUGCUUCCAGGAAAAGCCUCUAAGCUUCAGAUUGUAAGGAAUCGUACCCCAAACCGACACAGGUGGUCGGGUAGAGAAUACCAAGGCGCUUGAGAGAACUCGGGUGAAGGAACUAGGCAAAAUGGUACCGUAACUUCGGGAGAAGGUACGCUCUCGACGGUGAAGUCCCUUGCGGAUGGAGCUAUUGAGAGUCGCAGAUACCAGGUGGCUGCAACUGUUUAUUAAAAACACAGCACUGUGCAAAAUCGUAAGAUGACGUAUACGGUGUGACGCCUGCCCGGUGCCGGAAGGUUAAUUGAUGGGGUUAGACUUCGGUCGAAGCUCUUGAUCGAAGCCCCGGUAAACGGCGGCCGUAACUAUAACGGUCCUAAGGUAGCGAAAUUCCUUGUCGGGUAAGUUCCGACCUGCACGAAUGGCGUAAUGAUGGCCACGCUGUCUCCACCCGAGACUCAGUGAAAUUGAAAUCGCUGUGAAGAUGCAGUGUACCCGCGGCUAGACGGAAAGACCCCGUGAACCUUUACUACAGCUUGGCACUGAACAUUGACCCUACAUGUGUAGGAUAGGUGGGAGGCUUUGAAGCACGUACGCCAGUAUGUGUGGAGCCGUCCUUGAAAUACCACCCUUGUAGUGUUGAUGUUCUAACGUCGACCCCUUAUCGGGGUUGCGGACAGUGCCUGGUGGGUAGUUUGACUGGGGCGGUCUCCUCCCAAAGAGUAACGGAGGAGCACGAAGGUGGGCUAAUCACGGUUGGACAUCGUGAGGUUAGUGCAAUGGCAUAAGCCCGCUUGACUGCGAGAAUGACAAUUCGAGCAGGUGCGAAAGCAGGUCAUAGUGAUCCGGUGGUUCUGAAUGGAAGGGCCAUCGCUCAACGGAUAAAAGGUACUCCGGGGAUAACAGGCUGAUACCGCCCAAGAGUUCAUAUCGACGGCGGUGUUUGGCACCUCGAUGUCGGCUCAUCACAUCCUGGGGCUGAAGUCGGUCCCAAGGGUAUGGCUGUUCGCCAUUUAAAGUGGUACGCGAGCUGGGUUUAGAACGUCGUGAGACAGUUCGGUCCCUAUCUGCCGUGGGCGUUGGAAGAUUGAAGGGGGCUGCUCCUAGUACGAGAGGACCGGAGUGGACGAACCUCUGGUGUUCGGGUUGUGUCGCCAGACGCAUUGCCCGGUAGCUAAGUUCGGAAUCGAUAACCGCUGAAAGCAUCUAAGCGGGAAGCGAGCCCUGAGAUGAGUCUUCCCUGAUACUUUAAGUAUCCUAAAGGGUUGUCGGAGACUACGACGUUGAUAGGUCAGGUGUGUAAGUGCUGUGAGGCAUUGAGCUAACUGAUACUAAUUGCCCGUGAGGCUUAACCAU
RNAcentral lists this ribosomal RNA (2891 nucleotides) under Vibrio parahaemolyticus. RNAcentral describes it as "23S ribosomal RNA". It matches the Rfam family "Bacterial large subunit ribosomal RNA". Lineage: Bacteria; Pseudomonadati; Pseudomonadota; Gammaproteobacteria; Vibrionales; Vibrionaceae. The record is from RNAcentral.